AGCUCCAAUAGCGUAUAUUUAAGUUGCUGCAGUUAAAAAGCUCGUAGUUGGAUUUCGGAUGGGUUCCGUCGGUCCGCCGCUUCGGUGUGCACCGGCGGCGCCCAUCUUGCUGCCGGGGACGGGCUCCUGGGCUUCACUGUCCGGGACUCGGAGUCGGCGAGGUUACUUUGAGUAAAUUAGAGUGUUCAAAGCAGGCCUACGCUCUGAAUACAUUAGCAUGGAAUAACACGAUAGGACUCUGGCCUAUCUUGUUGGUCUGUAGGACCGGAGUAAUGAUUAAGAGGGACAGUCGGGGGCAUUCGUAUUUCAUUGUCAGAGGUGAAAUUCUUGGAUUUAUGAAAGACGAACUACUGCGAAAGCAUUUGCCAAGGAUGUUUUCA
Molecule: ribosomal RNA, 380 nt
Filed under: uncultured eukaryote
Lineage: Eukaryota
Description: SSU rRNA
Rfam family: Eukaryotic small subunit ribosomal RNA
Source: RNAcentral